AAAAUAUCUGGCAAACAGAAGUGAGAAAACCACUUACACUAAAAAUCUUGCAUUCCCAAUUCUUCAGCAAGCCUUCAGCUGCAGCUCCGCUCAUCAGCGGGGAUCUGGAAUUUGGAGAGUCGAAAAAUAGAUGCUCCAAAAAAAGUGCUGCGAGCAAAGCUGCCAGGCCUAUUUCCUGUCAUCAGAAAGCAACCCCCGGCUCUUCCGAGCUCAGCCCAGAAGCUGACGCAGUGCCAGCGGAGCUGCUGCCGUGGUCAGCCCCAAAACGUGCUGAAAUUCCACGUAGGGAAGGAGACAUUACCAGCAACUAUUUACGCUCACAGAAGCCUAUGAAGCAUUUCAGUGUUUAAACCAGGCUGGGCAGAGGAGCUAUGCUUCCAUCACGUGUGCAAUCUGUGAUUUUUCCCUUCCUGUGUGCCAGGCAUGGCUCAUACAGAAAGAGGGACUUUGCAUCAGAGCUGUGAGGGCAGCGCUGCUGCUUGCUGGGUGCUGGAGCAGGCUGUGGGGCCGGCCGUGUUGGCACAGGUAGGCUGGGCUUUUCAGUCGUUUGUCAUUGUCUCCAUGCCGUGCUCCCUUGGGCUGCUGAUUUCUGUGGUCUUCCUUCAGCCACUGGUUCCCACAGUCUCAGCAUUUUUGUAAUGCAGAUGAGCGUCUUCCUUGAACUGCACAGUACUUGGAAAGCUCUGAGAAACGUUCAUCUCCUGAGGGCAGGAAAUUCCCAAAGCCCCCCUGUUAGCGGCCUACGAUCAAAUCCUGGCAGGCUCUUUGGCCCUCUGUCCCGCUUUCUCUCGCUCACCUGACAUCUACCCAUGCUUCCUAUUGGUGCUGCAGCAGCUGAAAGACAUCUGGUCAGUGUCAGCAGUUAUAUGCCUUUUUUCUUCCUACUGUGCCUCAUUAACGUAUGCUCACUAACUCAAUUCUGUUUUGAAAAGAAAUAUAUGAGAAAUUAACUGGUAAGGCAUCAGCGGCUGCCAGAACUCCAGGGGAAAAGAAAUCCAUGAGCUAAUGGAGUUAGCAGCAAUGCAAACCUGGACACGACUACAAAUUGCUUCAGCACAUGUGAUCCUGAAAACAGAGGGUCAAAGGAGCUGUGUCCCGUUUCCUGCAGCACUUGCUUGGCUCAGCACUGAGUGUGUGCUGAGAUCCGGUGCUGCACACUGGGCACAGGGAGAGCUCUUUUUUGGUUGACUCUUCUGGACUGUCUUCCCGAGGCAGAAGCUGGAAACCACCACGACCUCAGGGUUUCAGCACACAGAGAUGCUGUAAAUCCCAGUGAAUGAGGCCCAGCGUGGAGCGGUUAUUUUCAAGGGCACUGCUACCAAUCUAUCCAGAGAGAGAGCUGGUCUCUGGGCAUCACUAAGAGGACUUGGAUAACACAGCAGGAGCAGGACAGAGAUGUACAGGAGUCAUUUAAAAAUAGAAAAAUAUAAUUUAAAAACAAACUCUUCUGGAUGUAACUUGAAAAAUAAGCAAGUAGAAAAUAUGAAACGAAUGCAAAGGGCUCCAGGUUUCUCGUUCUUCAAAAGUGGUGAUGGUUCAGGUGGGUGAUGAGCAGCUACAGAAGUAAACUAUUAAAUCAAAGAAAAAAAGAGUAUGUAUGUACAUAUGUAUGCACUUUGAAAGACGCUGAAUUAUAAAUGCUUCUGAAUCAUAAAAAUACAGAGCUUGUCAGUGGUUUCUGUCGAAGAUUGAACAUCUGAUUUCAUUUGUUCACAGCACAGCCUGUAUGAGUUAUCACAUCAAAAUCAGACAGAAGGGAGAAAGACACCACGAUAUCCUGUAGGCUUAAAAAAUAUAAAAUAAAAACGAAC
Long non-coding RNA from Gallus gallus (chicken), 1811 nucleotides. The record is from Ensembl. Lineage: Eukaryota; Metazoa; Chordata; Aves; Galliformes; Phasianidae.